RNAcentral lists this ribosomal RNA (2971 nucleotides) under Crassaminicella thermophila. RNAcentral describes it as "Crassaminicella sp. SY095 23S ribosomal RNA". It matches the Rfam family "Bacterial large subunit ribosomal RNA". Lineage: Bacteria; Bacillati; Bacillota; Clostridia; Eubacteriales; Clostridiaceae. The record is from RNAcentral.
UUUCUGGUCAAGUUAUAAAGAGCAUAGGGUGAAUGCCUUGGCACCAGGAGCCGAAGAAGGACGUGGUAAGCUGCGAUAAGCCUCGGGGAACUGCAAGCAAGUUUUGAUCCGGGGAUUUCCGAAUGGGGAAACCCACCUAGGGUAAUACUUAGGUACCCACUACUGAAUCCAUAGGUAGUGAGGAGGCAUACCAGGGGAACUGAAACAUCUAAGUACCCUGAGGAAAAGAAAGAAAACUCGAUUCCCUAAGUAGCGGCGAGCGAAAGGGGAUUAGCCCAAACCUAGAAAAUUUUUUCUAGGGGUUGCGGAUAUACUCAUAAGAGCGAAGAAUUUGUAGCCGAAGAGGUCUGGAAAGGCCCACCAUAGGAGGUAAUAGUCCUGUAGGCGAAACAAAGUCUAGCUUGAGUAUACUCCAGAGUACCACGAGACACGUGAAACCUUGUGGGAAGCAGGGGGGACCACCCCCCAAGGCUAAAUACUACCUGGUGACCGAUAGCGCAUAGUACCGUGAGGGAAAGGUGAAAAAAGAACCCCCGGGAGGGAGUGAAAUAGAACCUGAAACCCUAUGUUUACAAGCAGUGGAAGUUCUUUUUAUGAACGACCGCGUACUUUUUGUAGAACGGGCCAACGAGUUACGGUAUGCAGCAAGGUUAAGUAGUUAAGCUACGGAGCCGCAGCGAAAGCGAGUCUGAAUAGGGCGAUUUAGUUGUAUGCCGUAGACCCGAAACCGGGUGACCUAUCCAUGAGCAGGUUGAAGCGGAAGUAAAAAUUUCGUGGAGGACCGAACCCAUGUCUGUUGAAAAAAAGGCUGGGAUGACUUGUGGAUAGCGGAGAAAUUCCAAUCGAACUCGGAGAUAGCUGGUUCUCCCCAGAAAUAGCUUUUUAGGGCUAGCCUCAAAGUUAGUGAUACGGAGGUAGAGCACUGAAUGUCCUAGGGGCCCUCACCGGUUACCGAAGACUAUCAAACUCCGAAUGCCGUAAUCAUAUCUUUGGGGAGUCAGACUAUGUGUGAUAAGAUUCAUAGUCGAGAGGGAAACAGCCCAGACCGUCAGCUAAGGUCCCUAAGUACAGGUUAAGUGGAAAAAGGAUGUGGGAUUGCAUAGACAACUAGGAUGUUGGCUUAGAAGCAGCCACUCAUUUAAAGAGUGCGUAAUAGCUCACUAGUCGAGUGAUCCUGCGCCGAAAAUUACCGGGGCUCAAACCUGUCACCGAAGCUACGGCUUACUGAUAGUAUUUAUAUUAUUGGUAGGGGUAGGGGAGCAUUCUAUACGGGCUGAAGUCAUACCGAAAGGAAUGGUGGACUGUAUAGAAGAGAGAAUGUUGGCAUGAGUAGCGAGAGGUAGGUGAGAAUCCUACCCGCCGAAAACCUAAGGUUUCCUGAGGAAGGUUCGUCCGCUCAGGGUUAGUCGGGACCUAAGCCGAGGACGAAAGUCGUAGGCGAUGGACAACAGGUUGAAAUUCCUGUACCACCGAAAAAUCGUUUGAGCAAUGGGGGUGACACAGGAGGAUAGGCUAAGCGCACCGUUGGUUGUGUGCGUCUAAACCCGUAGGGAGUCUAUGUAGGCAAAUCCGCGUAGGCAAUCCUGAAAGGUGAUGGGGGAGCGAAAUAUAGUAGCGAACUUGCUGAUUCCACACUGUCGAGAAAAAAGCCUCUAGCGAGAUCUAGGUGCCCGUACCGCAAACCGACACAGGUAGGUGAGGAGAGAAUCCUAAGGCGAGCGAGAGAACUAUUGUUAAGGAACUCGGCAAAAUGACCCCGUAACUUAGGGAGAAGGGGUGCCACGGUAGGGUGUUAAAAGCCUGAGGUGGCCGCAGAGAAUAGGCCCAAGCGACUGUUUAGCAAAAAAACACAGGUCUCUGCUAAGUCGAAAGACGAUGUAUAGGGGCUGACGCCUGCCCGGUGCUGGAAGGUUAAGGGGACGUGUUAACGUAAGUGAAGCACUGAACUUAAGCCCCAGUAAACGGCGGCCGUAACUAUAACGGUCCUAAGGUAGCGAAAUUCCUUGUCGGGUAAGUUCCGACCCGCACGAAAAGGCGUAACGAUUUGGGCACUGUCUCAACAAUAGACUCGGUGAAAUUGUAGUACCGGUGAAGAUGCCGGUUACCCGCAGCAGGACGGAAAGACCCCGUGGAGCUUUUUACUGUAGCCUGACACUGGAUUUUGGUAUUACAUGUACAGCAUAGGUGGGAGACUUAGAAGCAUGUACGCUAGUAUGUGUGGAGUCGCCGUUGGGAUACCACUCUUGUAAUACUGAAGUUCUAACCAGAAGCUGUGAAUCCAGCUUUGGGACACUGUCAGGUGGGCAGUUUGACUGGGGGCGGUCGCCUCCUAAAAAGGUAACGGAGGCGCCCAAAGGUUCCCUCAGCGCGGUCGGAAAUCGCGCGUAGAGUGUAAAAGGCAGAAGGGAGCUUGAUUGCGAGACUUACAAGUCGAGCAAGGACGAAAAGUCGGGCUUAGUGAUCCGGUGGUUCCGAGUGGAAGGGCCAUCGCUCAACGGAUAAAAAGCUACCCCGGGGAUAACAGGCUUAUCUCCCCAAGAGUCCACAUCGACGGGGAGGUUUGGCACCUCGAUGUCGGCUCGUCUCAUCCUGGGGCUGAAGUAGGUCCCAAGGGGUUGGGCUGUUCGCCCAUUAAAGAGGCACGCGAGCUGGGUUCAGAACGUCGUGAGACAGUUCGGUCCCUAUCCGCUGUGGGCGCAGGAAAUUUGAGAGGAGCUGUCCUUAGUACGAGAGGACCGGGAUGGACGUACCUCUGGUGUAUCAGUUGUCGCGCCAGCGGCAUGGCUGAGUAGCUAUGUACGGACGGGAUAAGCGCUGAAGGCAUCUAAGCGCGAAGCCCCCCUCAAGAUUAGAUUUCCCAUGACGUAAGUCAGUAAGACCCCAGAAAGACCAUCUGGUUGAUAGGCCUAAGGUGUAAGGGCAGUAAUGUCUUAAGCUGAUAGGUACUAAUAGGUCGAGGACUUGACCAAAU